GACGAACGCUGGCGGCGCGCUUACACAUGCAAGUCGAGCGAUGAAGUCUUGACAGAUCCCUUCGGGGUGAAGAUAAGAUGGAUUAGCGGCGGACGGGUGAGUAACACGUGAGUAACCUGCCUUAGACAUUGGGAUAGCCUCGGGAAACCGGGAUUAAUACCAAAUGAAAUCAUAGGUGCCCAUGCACUAAUGAUCAAAACUCCGGUGGUCUAAGAUGGACUCGCGUCCCAUUAGCUAGUUGGCGAGGUAACGGCCCACCAAGGCGUCGACGGGUAGCCGGCCUGAGAGGGUGUACGGCCACAUUGGGACUGAGAUACGGCCCAGACUCCUACGGGAGGCAGCAGUGGGGAAUAUUGCACAAUGGGCGGAAGCCUGAUGCAGCGACGCCGCGUGGGGGAUGAAGGCCUUCGGGUUGUAAACUCCUUUCGACAGGGACGAAGCUUUUGUGACGGUACCUGUAUAAGAAGCACCGGCUAACUACGUGCCAGCAGCCGCGGUAAUACGUAGGGUGCGAGCGUUGUCCGGAAUUACUGGGCGUAAAGAGCUCGUAGGUGGUUUGUCGCGUCGUCUGUGAAAUUCCGGGGCUUAACUCCGGGCGUGCAGGCGAUACGGGCUGACUUGAGUGCUGUAGGGGAGACUGGAAUUCCUGGUGUAGCGGUGAAAUGCGCAGAUAUCAGGAGGAACACCGAUGGCGAAGGCAGGUCUCUGGGCAGUAACUGACGCUGAGGAGCGAAAGCAUGGGUAGCGAACAGGAUUAGAUACCCUGGUAGUCCAUGCCGUAAACGGUGGGCGCUAGGUGUAGGGGGCUUCCACGUCUUCUGUGCCGUAGCUAACGCAUUAAGCGCCCCGCCUGGGGAGUACGGCCGCAAGGCUAAAACUCAAAGGAAUUGACGGGGGCCCGCACAAGCGGCGGAGCAUGUGGAUUAAUUCGAUGCAACGCGAAGAACCUUACCUGGGCUUGACAUAUACAAGACAGGCGUAGAGAUACGUCCUCCCUUGUGGUUUGUAUACAGGUGGUGCAUGGUUGUCGUCAGCUCGUGUCGUGAGAUGUUGGGUUAAGUCCCGCAACGAGCGCAACCCUUGUCUUAUGUUGCCAGCAUUUGGUUGGGGACUCAUGAGAGACUGCCGGGGUCAACUCGGAGGAAGGUGGGGAUGACGUCAAAUCAUCAUGCCCCUUAUGUCCAGGGCUUCACACAUGCUACAAUGGUCGGUACAACGCGCAGCGACACUGUGAGGUGGAGCGAAUCGCUGAAAGCCGGCCUUAGUUCGGAUUGGGGUCUGCAACUCGACCCCAUGAAGUCGGAGUCGCUAGUAAUCGCAGAUCAGCAACGCUGCGGUGAAUACGUUCCCGGGCCU
This 1356-nucleotide ribosomal RNA is filed under the name uncultured bacterium. RNAcentral describes it as "bacterial SSU rRNA". It matches the Rfam family "Bacterial small subunit ribosomal RNA", at positions 28 to 1381 of the family's 1533-position model. The record is from RNAcentral.